This 373-nucleotide unclassified non-coding RNA is filed under the name Hevea brasiliensis (rubber tree). Lineage: Eukaryota; Viridiplantae; Streptophyta; Magnoliopsida; Malpighiales; Euphorbiaceae. The record is from RNAcentral.
GGCAGAGAUGGCUCACAUGUCAGAGGAAACAAAAGAGGAUAAGGAUAGUUAUGGGGUCGUGGAUACUGGGGUUAACGUGCCAGGAGUGAAUAUGGAAACAGAGACUAAAAUGGAGGCUGUUGUUAACUUAGUAGAGGACUCUGGGAAGGCAGUGGUAGCGGAUGUCACUUGCACGAUGGAGGGAUCAGUAAUGGUGGAUAAGGAUGUGAAGAAGAGGGACGUGGUAGAGGAAACAAAGGAGGAGGCUGCUGACACCGCAGAAGAGGCAGAGAUGGCUCAUAUGUCAGAGGAAACAAAGGGGGCAGCUUUCGAUACGGCAGAAGAGGCAGAGAUGGCUGACAUGGCAGAGGAUACCGUGGAGGUGGAGGAGGAG